GCUGAAUGAAUCUGCUGACUUGACCUGCAGCUGCUGCAGAGGCUUUUAAACUGCUCGUUCUCUCAAAGAAAGAGUCCUGUCUCCAUGGAGCCACGAAGACCGGGCUCCAUCUGCUCUGCUUGCCACGUUACAACUCGACUGGAUAUUCUGAGUAUUUUCCUGCAGGGACAUUAUCAAGUGUAGGUGCUCCUUGACUUACAAUGGGGUUAUGUCCUGAAAAAUCCAGCACAACAUGAAAAUAUCAAAAAGGCAUUCAGUGCACCUGACCUGCCAAACCUCAGCUCAGCUGCAUGGUCCAGGGCAGAGCACUUUUUCUUUGCGAUUAGGUGUUUCUCCAGGGGCUGAGCCACCACCAUGAGAGCAUGGCCGGCACACUGCUGGCCAGGGAAAGAUCAAACUUCAACAUCUGAAUUACAGGAGCAGGGGACAGAGCUUGGCGGUAGAGUGCAUGCCCAGCAUGCACAGGGCCCUUGUUCUCCCCAGUACUGCCAAACUAAGCAGCCUGAAUCCUGGCUUCUACUGAGUGUGCACAGGUUCGCACCAUCCAUCACCAAGUUGAGAAACAGUGAGUCUCAACCCCCUGAGCCAGAGAUAGCCAUGUGCCUGAGCAGUCACUUGCUCCUCUCAGUUCUGACCAAACGGAAGCUUUGUUGAGGAAUAAUCUGGUCCCCUUUCCUACAUGCGUUAUGGUCACCUGAAAUCCAUUCUCUAAAACUGUGUUUUUGAAAACUGAAUCCGAAAAAUGUCUCUCAUUUCAAACUUUGUGAAAAUAAAUUUUCAUUACUUAGCUUACCUUUCAUAAUUGAUUUUGGGGGUGGGGGUUCCAGAGAUUGAGGUCAAAGGCACUCGACCACUGAGCCACAUCCCCAGCCCUGUUUUGUAUUUUAUGUAGAGACAGGGUCUCACUGAGUUGCUUAGUGCCUCACUUUUGCUGAGAUUGGCUUUAAAGUCGUGAUCCUCCUGCCUUAGCCUCCCAAGCCGCUGGGAUUACAGCCACUAUCCCAGCAAAUAACUGGUUUUUGAUAGGGCUAUGAUUUGAAAGUAUGAAGCCAUGGUACAAAAUGAUUUUGAAGACUAAAUAGGACAGAUGCUCAGAGUAGACUUUAUGCACAUCUCGGAGGGCGUUCUCUGCAAGAGCCUUUAACAAUGAUUUCAUUCUCACUGAAGAAAGCCCAUGUCUAGGGUCAGCUCUGUUCCAAAGUUAACCUGUAAAAACCCCUCCCUGCCCUGGUUUCCACACAUUACGUGAAAAAAUAGAGCCUGAAAGAGUGCUGUUUCAGAAGAAAAUGUUAUGCUGAAGCAGCAAGGAAUUAUGAGAGAAUGGCAUAGUAAAUAUUAAAUAUCUUUGUUUUUCAGUUAAAUUUAAAACUGUUAAUAUAAAGUAAGAUCUGAAUAUCAUAUUUAUUUACCUUAAGUUACAGGGAUGGUUUGAAUGGUUAUGUUCCUCCAAAAGUUCAUGCUCUGGGAACUUGGUCCCCAGGUGGUGCUGAGGACAGUGGUGGGACUUUCAAGAGGGGGGACCUCAUGGGAGGUCCUUAGAGCUCUGGGGAUGUGAGGUUGCUCUCUUGUGACGCUUGAGUAAUUCUCCUGAGAUGGUUGUUAUAAAAGGAGCAAGCCUGGCCCCUCCCACCUUCUCUGCUUCUGUCUGAGAUAGAAUUGCUUUUGUAUUUCUAUACACUCUCCUGCCCAGGGGUGCCACUAUCCACAGCCCUCAUAAGACCCCAAGCCCAUGCCAUCCCACCUAUACCCAGCUCCACCUGAUCUUGGGAGUGACCCUGCAAAACUGUGAGCUAAAUCAACCUCCUUUUCUUCAUAUGAAGCCCUCCUUAGGUAUUUUGUUACAGUAAUGAAAACCUAGUAAGUUCUGUAACAGGGUCCACUUCAUGCUUUGAAGCACCCUUACUGCUCUGCCAUUGCAACUUAUUUUGAAACUGACUUGGUUUUUUCCCCCUUCUCUUCUUCCUUUCUCCCCUCCCUACCCUUGGGGGAAGCAAGAUUACCCUUCCUGCCAUCCUAGGCCGAGUUAUCUGUCCUUGAGCACAUAUCCACCACAGCAGUGAAGUACCUCAAACUUCAGGACGGCUCUGGAAGAGGUAAGAAACGGCUCUCCCUCAGGACCACCAGAAGAUGACGACCCCUGACAGGGUACACCUGGAACACAGCCUUUGAGGCCCCUCUUUCAAAGCUCCCUGACAGGAACAGUCACAGCUCUGGGACAGGAGUCUCCUGUGUCCCUCUUUGCUAACACAACAGUAAAACUUCUUUUUCCUUUUUCUCAAUCGUGUCCCCAUUCUUGGAUUGGCAUGGGGGACAAGGACUGAGUCUCCAGUGACGGUUCCAUACUUCCUCCUUAGUUCAGUAAAUCUAAGUGUGUGUUUCCUGGGGCUUGUCCCUCCUUUCCCCGACUUGCUUUUGUUCAAGUGGGCUGCCUCUCUGGCCUUCGAGACUUUCUGUGCUAGUUUAAAAGCUGUGGUUUAUAGACUUUGUAUUUUUAUUAGAGAGAAGCAGAGGCUGGAAUUUUGCCUUGCACAGCUCUGACACCCACAGCCCUAGAACAGAGGUGGCCUUAGCAGGUGGCUGGUAAGCACGGGGAGGUGAAUUUUAUUGCCCUGCCCACUGUCCUGAGCCGUCAGACAUGGGGAUGAUUUCCAUGAACACAACAGAGGAGAGCUCUCCUCAACCCUCUUCGGUUUUCUGGUCUCCAGAUGAUGGAGAUGUUUCUCCUGUCCAGGGCACCCACCCUGCCCAGGGCCCCCCUGGAGAAGAGCUGGGGAAGGUCCUCUUCCCUGGUGGCCAGGCCUCUGGUGAGGAGGGCUGGAUAAUAGGGUGGGCAGGCCACUACCUGCCCAGGAAGGGUUCCACCCUCCUGCUGGAGAAGGCUGGAGUGCAGCUUCUGGACGGAGAAGGGGGCUGUGCCACUGUGGCUUUAUUCUCUACCCACCCCCAAGCCCCAGAAGAGCUAAGGCGGUUCAUUAGUUAAUAUGAUUCUCAAAAAAACCCUCUGUGACAAUUAAUCACCUUUCUGCCUCUAAUGAGGACAUGCCUUCCUGAGACCUGGGAAGGGGUGUGACUAUUUCACCAUGAAAUCUCCAAUUAGUGGGUGUUACAAGAUUGUUUUACUAAACUGACACUUGUUAUUUCUAACCUAUAGACGCAGAGGGGGCACACACACAGCUGUGGAGCUGAGAUGGUGUCUUCUGAUGGAACCUCUUGAGUCACCAGGAAACACAUGCUUUGAAAACCCCUUGGCUCCCGGAGUACACCCGCCGCGGAGCAGGAAAACGGCUGAUGGAACAUGAACAAGGAAAGAAAACUGCCUGCUGCACACACGUGCACGCGCAAUCAGACAUGCACACACAUACACACGCACGCACACACUCAUACACACGCGCACCCUGAUCUUGGUUACUUAGUUCCUUGGGGGCUGAGAGAGAAGCUGCUUCCUGCUCACUCAUUUGGGAAGCAUGCUUGUCAUUUAAGCGACCUCCUUGCUGGAGUUCGAGGUGGUGUUUAUACACUUAAGGUGUCGCCGUGUUCACACAUGACAUUGCCACAGGGCAGUUUUCAGAACCAGGCCACUGAUGCUGCUGUGGCAUGGCUGACUGAACUGUGGGUUCUUGAACUUGGCUGUCCUCUGUUCUGUCUGGGAUUGUGACGGGCUCUAGCACUGCCUUUCUGUCUGUUCUUCUGCCUCCCCUGCCUUGCAGGCAGCUCCUCCGCCUUUCCUGGCCUCUCAGGACCUCAACACUGGUCAACGCCCUGGGAAACGUCCCUUGACUUGGGUUUGAGUCACUUCCGCGGACAGGCACAGAGCUCAUCUCACCUCUCAGGAGGAAGAGCCCUGCAGCUGGGAACCGGGAGGUGGGCUUGCUCAGCCCAUCUGAGGACCUGAAGUCUGAACAGCCAGAGGGGAGGAGGUGAGGUGCAGGGGCCAUGGGGCCAGAUCACCUGGGCUCAUGUCAGUCAUCGGAGGACCUGGGAGAGGCCAAGGAUGAGUCCCUCUGAUUUUUCUCUUAUUUAUUUUUGAGGUACUUGGAUCUGUGCAGGGCCUUGCCCAUGGUGAGCAGAUGCACCACCACUGAGCCACACCCCAGGCCUUGAUCUUCUUUUAAAAGGACGCUGCUCUGGUUAAGGACAGACCAAGGCUGAAACAGGGCACGGUCCCGAGGUGACUGUGGGUGAGACACACUCGUGGCUUGAUCUCAGGUGGUGAUAGGGAGGACAGGGAGGUGGGGGUGACUGCAUUUGGAUAGAUUUUGAAGGAGAGGGCUAGGACUUGCUGCUUAAGCAGAUGCAGGGCAGAGAGAAGGCGAGACUCCAACACAGGGUUAGAGUGCGGGGAGAAUGGGCAGCCAGUUCAACUGCUUUCAUACGAACUGGUGGACUUUAAGUUUUGUAAACAGGACAUGUGAAUACAGUCAAGGUUGAUCACAAGUGGUUAUAUUGAGAAGUUUUUAAUAUAGAGGCAUUUAGGGACAUCUGGAGUGUCCCAGGAGCUUUAUGUGUUGACCUGGCCCCUCACCAGACCAUGAAACCAUAUUCUCUGGAAGGGACUCCAGCUGAAGUAUUUUCAAAGCUCCACAGACAACUGAAACAGCAGCCAAGGUUGAGACCACAGUGCUGGGCUCCUCCUGCUGGGGCACCUCCUCCUUGUCUUCCCACCCCGACUGGCCUCUUCUUGCUCAAUUGCUGCUGUCCCCAUUUUAUAGAGGUGACUUGCCCAACAUUCCAGUAACUAGAAGUGGCUGAGUGGGAGCUUCACUAACCCCAGCAAACCAGCUGCCCACCUGCCCUCCACUAGCAGGAUGCCAUGCAGAGGGUAGUUCUUUCAAUACCAGAUCAAAACCAACAGAAGCCAAAUCCUCAGCCGUCUGUCCGAGGGAUGUCUGGUGGUGGGGCUGGAUGUACAGACAGAUGACAGAGGCGAGGAGCUGUCCCCUCUACCUAUUUUGGAAAAUGGGGGUACCUCCUGCACAGGGCAGGGGCAGUCAGGCAGCCCCCUGCUCAUCAGUGGUGGUAAUAACAAUUCAUUGACAGGAAUUUUUGGAGGAUUAGUGAAAUUUGGCAGGUGCUUGUGUCUCCAACACAGCACUCGCUUGAAUCCCCAGUCUCGCCUCUGUGAGUUUUAAGCUCCCUUGGGAGCUGCCCUCUGAGGGUCUGAUUCUGUGGAUCUGAGGUGCAGCCAGCUCAUCUGUGUAUCCAACAAACAUCCCAGGUGAUCUGGAGGACAAUGACCCAUUGAGUAACCGAGCCGCGGCCACAGGAGAGGAAACUGGACGCAGCCCUGGGCUUGGGCUCCUGAAACUCGCCUGAGGCUGCCCACUCUGCAAAUGGUGCUGGGGCCUCAGCCUCCUGGUCAGCUUCCCAUCUGCCAAAGUUCUCCACGAGCCUGGCCCUUAUUUUUGGAAGCAAACUGCAGCCUGAUCUUUCAUUUUUGGCUUCUAGAGUGUUAUUAAUGAGCAUCUGGCCAGAGUUAACAGAUGUGAUAACAACUCAGCCUUUUAAAAAAAAAUUUAACUUUGAUUAUCUUUUCCUUCAAGAACCACUAAUGUCACCCAGACUGCCUGGGGGAGAGGUGGGGCUCUCCCACACCUGGGCUUUACAAAAGUGCUUGAAAUGGCAAUAACACCAGGCAGGGCAGUGGUAUAGGCCACAAGAAAUGACAGCGUGCCUCUGGGGUAGGUGACAUAUAGGCAGUAUUGCCAUCUACAGGUAAAGGACACACACACACAUACACUUUUUAAAAAGGACUAAAUGUCAUUUAAAACCCUUUCCACAGCUUAUGCUUUCUGCAUAAAUAAGUACAUAGUAAAAUAGGAAACUAUGGCCAGAUGAGGAGGAACUCUCAGCAUGUGCCAUCUUUUCUAGGGUCUUCUCUGUUGGGGCUAUAGUCAGUGCUGAUGCUCACCAGACCCCUGGAGAUCUGAAUGACUCCACCUAGAUUCCAGACCAGGAAGCCAGGUGGUAAAGAGGUGGCCUGACACGGCUCGUUGGUUGUGGACUGUCCAAAGCUGCCUCUCUCCAUAGCCCUGUGCUGCCUUCUGGUGCUGAAGGUCCACCUGUCCUGUGCUCCUGCCCAGUGGUGUGGCCAAGUGUUUGCUCCAAUGGCUGCUGCAGGGAUCUUCCUGAGUCCUCUCCUCUGCCAAAUGCAUCGCCCACUGAAACAUCCUUCCUGUGACACGCUUUAUAACUCUUUCUGCUCCAAACCUCCUAUCUGGGAACGAAGAACAACACUUGUUGCCUGUCCUCUGGCCACCUCCCAGCUCAGAGAUUGUCUCCUCUCCACCUGCAACCAGGAUUUGUCUGGGAUCUUGUCUCCUGGAGCAGGGUUUCCAGCCUCGUGCAAGAGCCACCAUCACCAUGUGAGGCCCUCGAACCCUGCAGAGGUGGAGCCAGGGCCGGAGCCUGGCAGAAGCAGGAUGCAACCCCUAAGAGAGGGAUCCUGGGCAGACUGCCCUGGGCACAGAGGGCAGAGCAUGACCAGGCUAGGCCGGGGAGGGCGGGGCCUCCAGAAGCCAGGAGACUAGACCCUGACGUGUGGAUGGCUGGUGGAGACCUGAGGGUGAGGGUUAAGUGGUCCAACAGACGGCUCUUCAUGAUCCUUAGAGAGAAAGUGCAAACAUUUGAUGCUUUCUUUCCUUCUUAGAUUUAAAGGGUUUCCUAUUAGGUGUCAAGGGAUGCUGCUAGCUCCACCUUAUUAUGUUUCUGGGCAAACCUACUGGACUUCUGUUCCUUUAUUCAUCUGAUCAGCACAAUCCAAGAUAAGCUGUCAUUGGAAAUGGGAUGAAGGGCCAGGGGUGAAAUCUUGGACUGUUCAAGAGGUAGUUUCCAGGGAUAAAGCAGAUUGCAAAUGUCAAUGUGGGAAUGAAAUUUCUGCACACAAAAUCUCCCCCGACCCAGCAACAACCUGCUCUGCACAUGUGGAUGGCAGAAUUCCUGAUGUGUGACAUCCUGGCUUGGUCCCCUUCAAUUUCCUUAUGAGGGCAUCACACCUGGAUCCAGUUGGCACCUCCGAAUUAUUGAAGUGAAUGUUAUUACUUGGAUAAUCAGAAGCAAAAGUUAUUCCUUAAAAUAAAUCCUUUUUCCCAGAAAAUCCAAACCCAAACAGCGUUUCAACAAAUCUCAGAUCUUCUUUCAUCCUGAAUGUGAAGAGCAGGUGGUGUUGAUAUUUUGUUAGCAUUUUGUCCUAAGUUUCUUGGCCACAGUUCCUCUUAUUUUAUUUUCUUGUGCCGAUACUUAAGUAUUGAGAAUUCUUUCUUACAAUGAAGUUUCCAGGUCACAGAAAGCCAGCGUUGAUCAAUGUGGAGGCUUAGGCUUUGAGGAGCUCUUGGUUAGGGCCCAACAAGGUGAUCAGAAUGGAAUCGGAACCACCCACCGUGGGCCUUGGGGACGGAGGGCAACUUCCGAUUCUUAGCAAUUCAAGUAUUUCGG
This 7431-nucleotide long non-coding RNA is filed under the name Marmota monax (woodchuck). Lineage: Eukaryota; Metazoa; Chordata; Mammalia; Rodentia; Sciuridae. The record is from RNAcentral.